AUACGGAGGGUGCAAACGUUGUUCGGAAUCACUGGGCAUAAAGCGCACGUAGGCGGCCAAGUCAGUUCGGUGUGAAAGCCCUCGGCUCAACCGGGGAACUGCAUCGGAUACUGCUUGGCUUGAGGAUGGUUGGGGUGAGUGGAACUCCUGGUGGAGCGGUGAAAUGCGUAGAUAUCAGGAGGAACACCAGUGGCGAAAGCGGCUCACUGGACCAUAUCUGACGCUGAGGUGCGAAAGCUAGGGUAGCGAACGGGAUUAGAAACCCCAGUAGUCC
This 274-nucleotide ribosomal RNA is filed under the name uncultured bacterium. RNAcentral describes it as "partial 16S ribosomal RNA". It matches the Rfam family "Bacterial small subunit ribosomal RNA", at positions 523 to 796 of the family's 1533-position model. The record is from RNAcentral.